RNAcentral lists this ribosomal RNA (541 nucleotides) under Penicillium sp. 2DF-2. RNAcentral describes it as "eukaryotic LSU rRNA". The stretch from base 185 to 338 matches the Rfam family "5.8S ribosomal RNA". The record is from RNAcentral. Lineage: Eukaryota; Fungi; Ascomycota; Eurotiomycetes; Eurotiales; Aspergillaceae.
AAGGAUCAUUACCGAGUGAGGGCCCUCUGGGUCCAACCUCCCACCCGUGUUUAUUUACCUUGUUGCUUCGGCGAGCCUGCCUUUUGGCUGCCGGGGGACGUCAGUCCCCGGGUCCGUGCUCGCCGGAGACACCUUAGAACUCUGUCUGAAGAUUGUAGUCUGAGAUUAAAUAUAAAUUAUUUAAAACUUUCAACAACGGAUCUCUUGGUUCCGGCAUCGAUGAAGAACGCAGCGAAAUGCGAUACGUAAUGUGAAUUGCAGAAUUCAGUGAAUCAUCGAGUCUUUGAACGCACAUUGCGCCCUCUGGUAUUCCGGAGGGCAUGCCUGUCCGAGCGUCAUUGCUGCCCUCAAGCACGGCUUGUGUGUUGGGCCCCGUCCUCCUUCCGGGGGACGGGUCCGAAAGGCAGCGGCGGCACCGCGUCCGGUCCUCAAGCGUAUGGGGCUUUGUCACUCGCUUUGUAGGCCUGGCCGGCGCUUGCCGAUCAACCAAACUUUUUAUCAGGUUGACCUCGGAUCAGGUAGGGAUACCCGCUGAACUUAA